ACAUUACAUAAUCAAAAUGGGGACUCAAAGGAGGACCACUGGACUUAGGGAGGCAUUUGGGACAGAGCCCAUAUUUGCAUUAGCCAGACAUGACAUCAUGACGACUGGGCUAUAAAAUCAGCAUUUAAUGUGUCCCAUCAAUAGUGAGGAAAAUCACUUAAGCACUAAAACAUGCAUCUCCAUUUUGCCCUGCAGUCCAGUUUAACCAGUUUAUCUGUGCUGGUUUGUGGCAUGUUUGCAUCAUUGCUCCUAUUGAAAUGAAAUGUGUGCUUGACAGUGUGUGCAUCGCUAGCAGUAGGAAUGAUUGAUUCUAAUUGAAUCCACCCUGAAUACACUGACAAUAUAAAAGAUACAAAAGAACUGCAAUUAAUCUGUUUAAUGUGGGACAGAAAUGAACAGAGAGAAGGACAAAUAAGAGAUCUUUGAAAAUUCGCAGGAUUACAGCUUCCAUGUUUUGUCAUUGAAAUGACAUUGCACUGACUUAGAAGUUAGAUGGAUCUCUAGUUAAGAAUACUGUUCAAAAGUUUGGGGUCAGCAAGGUUUUUUAUUAAUACUUUCAUUCAGCAAGAUUCAUUAUGUAAAAAUGAUCAAAUGUGACAUGACAUUUAUG
Molecule: long non-coding RNA, 610 nt
Organism: Carassius carassius (crucian carp)
Lineage: Eukaryota; Metazoa; Chordata; Actinopteri; Cypriniformes; Cyprinidae
Exons: 3
Source: RefSeq, a predicted model, not a curated record